AUUGAACGCUGGCGGCAGGCCUAACACAUGCAAGUCGAGCGGAUGAAGGGAGCUUGCUCCUGGAUUCAGCGGCGGACGGGUGAGUAAUGCCUAGGAAUCUGCCUGGUAGUGUGGGAUAACGUCCGGAAACGGGCGCUAAUACCGCAUACGUCCUGAGGGAGAAAGUGGGGGAUCUUCGGACCUCACGCUAUCAGAUGAGCCUAUGUCGGAUUAGGUAGUUGGUGGGGUAAAGGCCUACCAAGGCGACGAUCCGUACCUGGUCUGAGAGGAUGAUCAGGCACGCUGGAACUGAGCCACGGUCCAGACUCCUACGGGAGGCAGCAGUGGGGAAUAUUGGACAAUGGGCGAAAGCCUGGUCCAGCCAUGCCGCGUGUGUGAAGAAGGUCUUCGGAUUGUAAAGCACUUUAAGUUGGGAGGAAGGGCAGUAAGUUAAUACCUUGCUGUUUUGACGUUACCAACAGAAUAAGCACCGGCUAACUUCGUG
Molecule: ribosomal RNA, 484 nt
Filed under: uncultured bacterium
Lineage: Bacteria
Description: partial 16S ribosomal RNA
Rfam family: Bacterial small subunit ribosomal RNA
Source: RNAcentral